This 423-nucleotide ribosomal RNA is filed under the name uncultured bacterium. RNAcentral describes it as "bacterial SSU rRNA". It matches the Rfam family "Bacterial small subunit ribosomal RNA", at positions 355 to 775 of the family's 1533-position model. The record is from RNAcentral.
UAAGGAAUAUUGGUCAAUGGGCGCAAGCCUGAACCAGCCAUGCCGCGUGCAGGAAGACGGCCCUAUGGGUUGUAAACUGCUUUUGUCAGGGAAUAAACCCCCGCUCGUGAGCGGGGCUGAAGGUACCUGAAGAAUAAGCAUCGGCUAACUCCGUGCCAGCAGCCGCGGUAAUACGGAGGAUGCAAGCGUUAUCCGGAUUCAUUGGGUUUAAAGGGUGCGCAGGCGGAUUGGUAAGUCAGGGGUGAAAUCCCACAGCUCAACUGUGGAACUGCCUUUGAUACUGUCAGUCUAGAGUAUAGUUGAAGUGGGCGGAAUGUGUCACGUAGCGGUGAAAUGCUUAGAUAUGACACAGAACACCGAUCGCGAAGGCGGCUCGCUAAGCUAAAACUGACGCUCAUGCACGAAAGCGUGGGGAUCAAACAG